This 7998-nucleotide long non-coding RNA is filed under the name Sus scrofa (pig). Its description in RNAcentral is "lncRNA (ENSSSCG00000057939.1)". Lineage: Eukaryota; Metazoa; Chordata; Mammalia; Artiodactyla; Suidae. The record is from RNAcentral.
CUUGGAGAAAGGGAAAACAAAGGGACACAUUAAAUCAAUCAAAAUGCUGCCUUAAAACUUUCACAGCUUCCUUGCACUUAGCAAUUCUGGGGCUUCAGCCACCAAACAGGUUUUAUUUAAAAAACGAGUGUCCUCAAUUUCCUGCAGUUUGCGUUCCAGGCCCAUCCUCGCUGCCUGCCUUCCCUGCGCACAAGCCGAAGCCCAGGCGAGGGGCAGCAAGCGCGCACAUUCUCUCAGUCGUUCUCUACCACUUCCGUACCCAAGACGUAGGGCGAAAUCUGGUGUCCAGGUCAACCCCUGAAACGGCAAGACGAUCAUUCUCAGACUAAGCUUCCGGAUGCUAGGACCACCAAGAACCCCGAGGCAGAGCCCCCUGCCUCCAAGGCUGACACUCGGGCUGCAGAGACGGAGGGAUACAUUCCAAAGGAAGAGAAAAUGGACUAGGCGCCAAAAGCCUGCAGGGCUGCAGGGCUCCCCAGAGGUGCAAGUUGUCAAGAGUGAGGGCAAAGCAAACCUGAGCUCGAGCAGAGGCAGCUUCCAGAAGACGGGACGUCAAGCCCCAAGGAAACGCACAGGGGAGAAGCGCUGAGACUCAAGAAGGACCCCGGACGGUGCACGAGGGGUGAGAGCACUGGCUCUUAAAUGCCCCCCCCACCCUUCUCCAAAGAAAUGAGGAAAAUCAGACAACGUGCUGAGGUUCUCACGGUGCUCAACGCAUUGUUUUUUUAGGUUAAAACGUCCUCCUUUUAGAUGAAAUGAUCAAGACAGGAGAUGGUUGGGACUGGUUUUUAAUGCCCUUGCUUGGCAAAUGGAAAAGUCGGCGACUCCAUGUGUCACUGCCCAAGACUGGCCUUAGGUCUCGGCCAUGCAAGCUGAGUCCUUGGGAGCCAUCAGACAACACCAGGCGCUGGGCGAAGGGGCCGGAGUGGAGUGGCAGGACUGGCAGAGAUGGGCCGGCGAAACGAUGCCGGGGUCAAGGCUCCAUCUCAGAGGGACGAACUUUACCCUAUGGCUGUGGGAACCCACAGCCCCCCUUUGAAAAAAACUCUGCGAUGAAAUAACCUUAACCAUAUUUUUUAAAACUCUUGGCAGCAGUUUUAAAAAAUCGAUGAUUAGAGGCAUAUAACCCACGCAGGAGGCUACUGCAGUGCAGUCUCAGGGCCCGAGACGAGCCGCGUGGAGGUCAGGAAGACACCUCCCAGGGCCCAACCUGGCUGCGAGCAGCGAGGGCGAAGGUCAGGGAGGUGCUGGGCUUCCCGCUCGGGCCAGAGAGCGGGCCGGGGAGGCGGGUCACUGCGAUGCCGGAAAAACUCCCAGUACAGGAGAGAACAAAGAGAAUCCAGCAGGAAGGGACUGGUUACUGAGUAGCAGGAUUAAGCAAGGAGUUCUGUUUAAAAAAAAACAAAGACUGUCCCUGGCCAGAAAGGAGCAGAUGGGAAAAAGGAGAAGGUUCUGGAGGAGUGGGAAAGGCAGACCGGGCGCCCGCCAGGCACAGGAAGAUGAAACACUUGUGGUUGAACGGAAUACAUAACAUAUGUAGCCAUAUAAAUGUACGUAUUCAUUGUCAAAUUGGCCGCUGAUGCGGGGGAAAGAGCUUGAAAAGCCUUCACGUAGAGGUUACAAGUCUACACAAAACUUCACCAAAUACAAAACAAGAGAAAAACAAAACCCAUCUUUCUCUCUCUUUCAAAGAGCCUCCCUAUAAAACAAACACGUCAGAUGCUGGGUAAAACAUUUUACUGAAUCAACGUGGUUUAGAGCAGCACCGUCCAGUUCAAAGCUGGCCAUGCCCAAGGCAUGCAGAAAGUUCCCAGGCCGGAGAUCAAACCCUCACCACAGCAGUGACCCAAGCCGCUGCAGUGACCAUGCCAGAUCCUUAACCCGCUGCACAACCAGGGAACUCCAUCUGGUAGCUUCAAGCCACCCCUGGAAGCUGAGCACUUGACAGGAGGCUAAUGUAACUAGGGAACUAAAUUUUAAAAGGUUAUUUAAGUGGGAGUUCCUGUCGUGGUGCAGUGGUUAACGAAUCCAACUAGGAACCAUGAGGUUGUGGGUUCGAUCCCUGGCCUUGCUCCGUGGGUUAAGGAUCCAGCGUUGCUGUGAGCUGUGGUGUAGGUUGCAGACGCAGCUCGAAUUCUGCGUUGCUGUGGCUCUGGCGUAGGUCAGCAGCUACAGCUCCGAUUUGACCCCUAGCUUGGGAACCUCCAUAUGCCACGAGAGCGGCCCAAGAAAUGGCAAAAAGACCAAAAUAAAUAAAUAAAUAAAUAAAUGGUUAUUUAAGUUAAAUUUAAGCAGCCCCAUGUGGCUAGCAGGCUGCUGUAUUGGACAGCGUAGGUCUAUGGUAUUUUUUUCUCUAGUAAUCUUGAGUGAACAGGUUGUAGUCCUUAGCUUAUUUGGGGCAUGGGGGGAGAGUGCAUAAAUUUUUUUAGGGCCGCACCCGAGGCAUAUGGAGGUUUCCAGGCUAGGGGUCCAAUUGGAGCUACAGCUGUCGGCCCACACCACAGCCACAGCAACGCCAGAUCCAAGCCGUGUCUGUGAGCUACACAGCAGCUCAGGGCAACAGCUCAUGGCUGGCUCAUGGCCGGAUCCCUAACCCACUGAGCGAGGCCAGGGAUCAAACCCGCAACCUCAUGGUUCCUGGUCGGAUGGUUUCCGCUGCGCCACAACGGGAACUCGGAGAAUCCAAAAUUUGAUCAGAUUUUCAAACCUUCCCUUUUCUUGCGAGGAUAAGCUGAACCACGUAAUUCACGUCGGAUACAUGGCCAUCAUUCAGCAAAUGUUAGAGCAGUCAACUCCCCUGCCCCCGCCCCCCGCCGCGCCCCAUGCCUGCUGUGAACAGUUAUAAUUUGAGGACAGAACUCCUCCCACAGAAAGGAGGGUCAGGAGCGCCAUCGCUCCAAGCGUCUGUCUGUGUCACGGUGUUUACGUGGUUUAAUCCAGAAAUAACUCAGGGAUCCAAGGAGCUUCCUGAUGCCGUUAGGCUGAAACCGAGUACAUCAGGUCACCAUCUCGAGGCCGCCAAAGGCACUGAGGGGGUUUUCUGUAAGAUCCGUGGGUACAGGUGCGAAUGCGGCCCGAGCACUACCCAUUCCUGGGACUCUGAAAGGGGUCCCAGAAUAGGGGGUGGCCUCUCAUGGAGGGUAUUUGUUUUGCAAGUAACCAAAGGGAAUGGGGGCGUCAGUGAGCUUUUUAAAUAGAAACCAAGAAUUAAAACUGAGUCCCUCUGUGCACCAAAAUGUCCUUGCUUAAAUUGCAAGGCGUAAGUAAAAUAAAUUGGCUAUAAAAGGGAGGAUUAUAUCAACUGUAAAAUUCGACCCGGGGACUAGGAAAAGUGACUGUGAUUAAAAGGUGUGUGUGGUGGGGGUGGCUUGAUCCUUGUUUUCUCAUGUGUCCUUUGAAGGUGAAAACGAACCAAUUUUCUCUGGCCUUCAAGCUGUCAAAGAGGUUGAAAAAAAAAACAAAACCUGUCUGAAAAAUAAACAAAUGGGACCUGCAAUCUCCCUUCAGGAGAUGGGGAGAAAAUACUCCAUCUAAAGCCCUUAAGUAUUUCCUGGUGACUUUACCUCAAUUAGUAACUAUCCACUAGCUAUGAGACUGGGGGUAGGGGUGACAGGUGGGUGCCAGAGGUGUUCCCGAUCACCAGCUAGGUGAGAAGAAAGAAGAAAACGUGAGACGCUAAGAGAAUUCAGUGUUGACUGUGCAAGACAAUUUUACGGCCAGAAAACCCACUAGCAUGUGCUAAGUGGAGGGGCCUCCAAGGUGGAAGAGGCUGGUGGGGCUGAGGCCAGAAAGGACCACGAGGAGGCCGGAGCCCGUCCUGCUUUGUGGGAGCCAGGAGCGGGCGGGGGGCGGGGAGUGGGGUGGGCAGGAGGGGGUGUGGGCUCCGGGCGGGCGUGAGGAUGACGUCAGCUUUGAGGAAACCUGUUUGAACAUGGUAUGGGGCGGCAGGGGAGGGAGGCCAGGCUCGAAAUGGGAACAAAGGGAACAGAGGGAAAGAUAAACCUGAAAGCCUCUCAAAGAACUGCAGAGACCUGGGGGUGGCGGGUAACACUGCAGAGCAGAGAGCUGAGCAGGAAGUCACUCUGGCCACAAGCUCCACUGCCCGGGGCACCAGCGCGGGGAUGGGAAGAGGUUUUCGACUGUUAAGGUGGUACACUCGGCAAGUGCAGAGAUGGAGUGGGGUGAGAAGGGAAGGUCUCGGGACGAGGGGACCGGGGUACGGGGAGCAAUCAGGCUCAUGAGUGCAGGUGGGCUAGAACCCGCCCUGGGGCGGGGGUGGGGGCCGAGAUUCAGAGACAAGAGGGUCCAGAAGAGUGCCCAUUCUGAGCCGCAGACACAGGAACAAAGGCUGGCGGGCACGAGGUCCCCAGGAAGGGGGAGGACCCGGUAUCCUAAUAGAUGGGAAAACAUGAGCAACAAGGGGGCAUAAAGCGCUUCUGAGUCCGAAAGAUGCAAGAAUCAGGAAAACACCUGGGGGAGCUGAAGGCAGCUCACAGUGGAAUGGCCUUAACCUUGAGCACACAGUAGGCACUUAACUAUCCUACCGAUUAGCAAUCUCAAAACAGGCAACAGGUCGUACGCUGUGCGUAGGAGGAGGAGAAAGGGGAACUGAUGCCUUCAGGAGCAAAGGAGCCCAGGGAGCCUGGGAAGAGACUGCGGGAGGGGUGGUAAAUCAUGAGCCAUUUACCACCCCAUGCUCUCGAGGGGCUGGGGUCAACACGGCUUGGGGGUCGGGUGGCCCUCUGGAGCCUCCUACUCAGGCUGAGUCUGGCAUCCUCCUUUCUACUCUGGAUGGGUGGCUGAGGAGAAGGGAGGGAAACCGUGUUAUUUCAAAUGGCUGCAUCUUUUAUUCCUGCUAUUUGAGACAAGCCUGGUAUGUUUCCUCCAAGAGAUGCCCAAUCCAUUCCAUCUACUCACAGCAAGGGCACCAGGUCUCCCAGAGGAGGGAAAACCUUGGCUUUCAUAGGUCCCCCCACCUCCACCCGCAAGGCUGAACUUUGCAACUCCAACCCAGAAUCACCCCGGUGCAGGACACAGCCAGGAAGCCUGCACAGGACCGAGGCGCACGGCCCAGCCUGAGCAUGCGUCCUCCAAGGUCAGCUGGUCCCAGCAAAUCUGCACGCAGGGCUCGCCGAUUCAAUUACUGUGAGUUCAGUUGCUCUUUUUUAGGUCAGUUCUUUCUUCUUUUGUUUAGAUCUGACUCAAGAUUUACUACAAUUAUCCGCACCUCUGUGAGAGGACCUAAACAAAUUAAACUGUUCAAAGUGAUGAAGGCAACGGGAAACAAGAACCUGGAUCUUUAAAAAAAUACACAAAUGGUCUCCUCCCUCCCCCUUCACUAUCUUCCUUCUCUUCAAUUACUCAAGUAGACUAGCAACUGUUUCUCUCAGGAAAACUCUUGACUCUAAGUCUGAAUGUGAAAACCUUGUGGUUAAGCCCUGGCUUGCAGCAGACUAAAAAUUUCAGCAAUUCUGGAAUGAAAUGUUAUGUUCAGAGCAACACGAAGCACCGCAGCUGUUCCAGCCAACACGAAAACCGAAAGGGGUGAUGCUAUCUUUAUCCUCUACCUACAGGCAGGGCUGCCCGGGGACCAGCUCAGUCCUAGGCUGCUAAAGCACAGGGACAGGAGCAGCAAAGGAGCACAGGGGCCAGCUGAGCCACCUAAGCGGCCACACACAACAGACCCACCUGGAAGAGAGAAAAUGCAGUUCAUCACCACAAACUUGAAAACGAUGCAAGGAAACACAGCUGCUUGAAAAGCCGUUCUCAAUGCUGCUUGGAAAAUCCUUUUCAAUCAGCUCGAAACUCAAAAAGAUCAGAUUGCAUCUAACUCGACCUGAAUUGCCCAAGUGGAAGGAGACCCCUUUUAUCCAUUUUCUUGGGAAAAAAGACACAGUCGUCUAUUCACACUCAGAAAGCUCGUCUUGAGACCACCUCGUGGAAGCAGCCCCAGAGGCGCGUCUUAGCAGACAGAUGAUGAUGGAAACUGGAAGAAGACUCAGAAGGGACGGGGCUGAGAACAGGGCACUCUCACGGCCAAAGCUUGCCCACCGGUUAACGGAGGAAAGUGCUCCUGGUGUGACGGACCCAGGGCCCGCUGAGCAAACACCUCCCACCAGCAACCUCGUUCGGCCUCUGCCAGGCCCUGCUCGGGUCUAAGCGCCUGGGCCGCACGACUGCCUGGCACACACCCCCAGGACUGGCCACGGCCGUCACAGCCCACAACACACGCAAACCACCAACGAAUGAAGCUGUGGUGAGGGGGCGCAGCUCGCCGGGGCACUGCCACCAACACCCCACGCUUCCUGCUCAUUCGGGCAGACUGUCUCCAUUCCGGAGAAAGUGGAAAAACUUCCACAGGGUUGCUACCCUGUGAUGGGCAGGCAGCAUCGCACCACAGGGAAGGAGUGGACGCCAGGGGCUGCACUGCUCGGGUUCGAAUCCUGCCUCUUCCCCUCCUCUGCCGCGGCGGCACUGCUCCUGGUUACAGAGCCUCUCUGCCUCAGGUCCCCCACCUGCAGAGGCGGGGUGCGGGCCGCUGCGAAGCAGGUACAUACAGUCUGGGACCUCGUGCAAACGCCCCACGUGCCUGCUGUUCCCAGCACGGCUCCCACUGAGCAUCCCGUGCUGUGCAGGCCCAGCAACAAGCGCACAGCAGCACUUUAGGGCUGAUCCACCACCAGUUCAACAGGUGCUGAAGACAUUCGGUUCCCCCAAGACGGUGGUUCUCAAACUUUAGCAGCAAGCAUCCAGAGCGACAACCGCAACAGAUUUCUGGGCCCCGCCUCCAGUUUCUGACUCAGAAGGUCGGGGGUGGGGCCUAAGAAUUUGUGUUUCUAACAAGAUCCCAGGUGAUGGUGCUGCUGCCCAUGCUGGUCUGAGGCUGCAGCCCUCAGAGAAGCACUGCUCUGAGGACCGGUUACUCCUGGUAUUCUGUGCUGCAGGCCUAAGCCUUACCUAGCUUAUUUAUCUGCAGUGAGCCAGGAGGAGAUAAAAUAAGGUGAAUGGCGCAGCAGUUUAUGGCUCAGAGAAUACCCACGUGUUCUUUCACGCCACCUAGCACCCCUGCGCCUCUGCAUGUGGCAGAUCAUGUGAUAUGUUCUGACCAAUGGGCUGUGAGCAAGUUGCGGCCUGCUGGCUCUCUGCUGGCAGCGGAACAUGGAGGGAUGUGUGUGUGCCUGGACUCUGGGUCAGUGCCUGGACUCUGGGUCAGUGCCUGGAAGGGAGCUAUUCUAGAGAGCUGCUGGGCCUUCCCAGGAAAGGCAGCGACAUUCUGUGGGUUGAGCCGCUGAGGUUUUAAAGUUUGUUUGAUAAUUCAGCACAGCUUAGAUGAACCCCAUUAAAACAAUUCCUAUCAUCGUUAUAAAAUGCACCUUCCCAUCGGUCUUCAGUCCAACCUAUCAAACCCAGGUGUUGAUUGUAACAAAAUCAGUUAGCUAGGAUUUCUACCGUCCUCUCAUUCGCUUGGAUUCAACAAAAAGAUGAGUUUUUUCUUUGAUCCUCCCAUAUUGGGUCCAUUUUUCACCAGAUAUAAAAAUUCUUCUCUGCAACAUGAUGUAACAGUUGCCAAUAAUUUGGAAAGUUAAAUAUGCUAAGAAGCGUUGAAAACUUGAAAAGUAAACAAUGAAGGACUCAGACCAAAAGCCCCAUGAAACAAAGUAGGUAUGCACGCGCGCACGCGCGCACACACACACGCACACAAGACAUCAGAAUCCCUUGACAGGCCAGAAGGCAGGCCAGAAGGAAAAGGUUUCAAAUGUAUUAAAUCAUAGGCAAAUUAAGAUCCUGUUUUGCCCAAAGAGGAGAAGGUGAUCUCUUUAUGGUAAAAGCAUCACCACGUAAUCACAAAACCACUUGUUGAAAAAAAAUCCUAAUUUCUAGUCGACCUAGGAAAAUCUGCAACCUAACACGCAGGUGAUGAACUGCCGUCUGCUACCUUCCAGAUUAUGUGGAAUUAAACAUCAUAAAGAUGCUCCUCUUAUAAAAAAAACUGCCACC